AAACAUACUGCCAAAGCAACCCAAGAGUUUCUCAAGGCAAAUGCAUGGAAUAUUCAUCAACGGUCAAGUCAGUCAUGUGAUCCUUUACAC
This is a long non-coding RNA of Thalassophryne amazonica, 90 nucleotides long. RefSeq lists it as uncharacterized. The record is from RefSeq and is a predicted model, not a curated record. Lineage: Eukaryota; Metazoa; Chordata; Actinopteri; Batrachoidiformes; Batrachoididae. The transcript has 3 exons.